RNAcentral lists this ribosomal RNA (381 nucleotides) under uncultured bacterium. Its description in RNAcentral is "partial 16S ribosomal RNA". It matches the Rfam family "Bacterial small subunit ribosomal RNA", at positions 30 to 526 of the family's 1533-position model. The record is from RNAcentral.
AUUGAACGCUGGCGGCAGGCCUAACACAUGCAAGUCGAGCGGAGCGGCGGACGGGUGAGUAAUGCCUAGGAAUCUGCCUGGUAGUGGGGGAUCACGUCCUGAAACGGGCGCUAAUACCGCAUACUAUCAGAUGAGCCUAGGUCGGAUUAGCUAGUUGGUGGGGUAAAGGCCUACCAAGGCGACGAUCCGGAACUGGUCUGAGAGGAUGAUCAGUCAAACUGGAACUGAGACACGGUCCAGACUACGACGGGAGGCAGCAGUGGGGAAUAUUGGACAAUGGGCGAAAGCCUGAUCCAGCCAUGCCGCGUGUGUGAAGAAGGUCUGCGGAUUGUAAAGCACUUUAAGUUGGGAGGCGACAGCAGCCAGCAGCCGCGGUAAUAC